CGUUACGUCAUUUAUUUAUAUUUUUGUAUUUACUUCCGUUAUGAUCGACAGAAGAAAACGCUAUGUAUUGAUGGUUUAUAGAUGUAAAUACGGACUACAUUUGGAACAGCGUGAUGUCCUGUGACAAGAGGUGGCUAUGUUCGGCUGUCCAUUAUGGCAGUAAAUCAUGGCAGUGGCAGUGGAUCGACCAAGCAUGGCCGGAGGUCUCAAGUUCAUGCCUUUGAUUUCAGUUGCAAUAGGAUGCGACGCAGCGAGCAAUGCUGAGUUGUCAGACUUUAUGACGUCAUAAUGGCACAGUGACGUCAAUAAUGCGUCCAGCGUUCGCGUUAAUCUUCAAGGUCACGCUUCAAGCGGUUCAGUGACGGACCAUGCCUCUGGACCGUUAGUGAAAUUCAUUUGAUCGUUACACAAAAUACAUUUAAAAUUAAUCAUCAACAAUUUGCAAGAGCUAUAUGACUAUAAUUGAUAGACAAUUCGUAUUUUGCACAAAUUGUAUUGGAAAAAGAGAUGAUUAAUAAUGUAAAUAUUUGUAGACGUUUCCAUGACAACUGUGAAGACUGAAAGACU
Dreissena polymorpha is the source of this 567-nucleotide long non-coding RNA. RefSeq lists it as uncharacterized. The record is from RefSeq and is a predicted model, not a curated record. Lineage: Eukaryota; Metazoa; Mollusca; Bivalvia; Myida; Dreissenidae. The transcript has 3 exons.